Molecule: ribosomal RNA, 208 nt
Filed under: uncultured bacterium
Lineage: Bacteria
Description: partial 16S ribosomal RNA
Rfam family: Bacterial small subunit ribosomal RNA
Source: RNAcentral
CGCGUAGGCGGCCUGGUAAGUCUGGAGUGAAAGUCCUGCUUUUUAAGGUGGGAAUUGCUUUGGAUACUGUCGGGCUUGAGUGCAGGAGAGGUAAGUGGAAUUCCCGGUGUAGCGGUGAAAUGCGUAGAGAUCGGGAGGAACACCAGUGGCGAAGGCGACUUACUGGACUGUAACUGACGCUGAGGCGCGAAAGUGUGGGGAGCAAACA